RNAcentral lists this ribosomal RNA (403 nucleotides) under uncultured bacterium. RNAcentral describes it as "bacterial SSU rRNA". It matches the Rfam family "Bacterial small subunit ribosomal RNA", at positions 355 to 774 of the family's 1533-position model. The record is from RNAcentral.
UGAGGGAUAUUGGUCAAUGGGCGCAAGCCUGAACCAGCGACGCCGCGUGGGUGAAGAAGGUCUUCGAAUCGUAAAGCCCUUUUCCCACUGAAGAGGAAGGACGGUAGGUGGGGAAGAAGUCUCGGCUAACUACGUGCCAGCAGCCGCGGUAAAACGUAGGAGACAAGCGUUAUCCGGAGUUACUGGGCGUAAAGGGCGUGCAGGUGGCGUCUUAAGUCUGUUGUGAAAGCGCCUGGCUUAACCGGGCGAGGCCAAUGGAGACUGAGAGGCUGGAGGACGGCGGAGNGGUGUGGAAUUCCGGGUGUAGUGGUGAAAUGCGUAGAGAUCCGGAGGAACACCAGAGGCGAAGGCGGAACUCUAAGCCGUACCUGACACUGAGACGCGACAGCACGGGGAGCAAACG